This 448-nucleotide ribosomal RNA is filed under the name uncultured bacterium. RNAcentral's name for it is "partial 16S ribosomal RNA". It matches the Rfam family "Bacterial small subunit ribosomal RNA", at positions 29 to 523 of the family's 1533-position model. The record is from RNAcentral.
AACGAACGCUGGCGGCAUGCCUAACACAUGCAAGUCGAACGAAGCCUUCGGGCUUAGUGGCGUACGGGUGCGUAACGCGUGGGAAUCUGCCCUUGGGUUCGGAAUAACAGUUAGAAAUGACUGCUAAUACCGGAUGAUGUCUUCGGACCAAAGAUUUAUCGCCCAAGGAUGAGCCCGCGUAGGAUUAGGUAGUUGGUGGGGUAAUGGCCCACCAAGCCGACGAUCCUUAGCUGGUCUGAGAGGAUGAUCAGCCACACUGGGACUGAGACACGGCCCAGACUCCUACGGGAGGCAGCAGUGGGGAAUAUUGGACAAUGGGCGAAAGCCUGAUCCAGCAAUGCCGCGUGAGUGAUGAGGCCUUAGGGUUGUAAAGCUCUUUUACCAGGGAUGAUAAUGACAGUACCUGAAGAAUAAGCUCCGGCUAACUCCGUGCCAGCAGCCGCCGUAA